GACGAGGGGUCCUAGCGUUGUUCGGAAUCACUGGGCGUAAAGCGUAUGUAGGCGGGCUUUUAAGUCGGGUGUGAAAUCCCACGGCUCAACCGUGGAAUUGCAUUCGAAACUGGAGGUCUUGAGUGUGGGAGAGAUUGGUAGAAUACCUAGUGUAGUGGUGAAAUACGUAGAUAUUAGGUGGAAUACCGGUGGCGAAGGCGGCCAAUUGGCCCAACACUGACGCUGAGAUACGAAAGCGUGGGGAUCAAACAGG
This 253-nucleotide ribosomal RNA is filed under the name uncultured bacterium. RNAcentral describes it as "partial 16S ribosomal RNA". It matches the Rfam family "Bacterial small subunit ribosomal RNA", at positions 524 to 776 of the family's 1533-position model. The record is from RNAcentral.